RNAcentral lists this ribosomal RNA (667 nucleotides) under uncultured Bacteroidales bacterium. RNAcentral's name for it is "bacterial SSU rRNA". It matches the Rfam family "Bacterial small subunit ribosomal RNA", at positions 53 to 707 of the family's 1533-position model. Lineage: Bacteria; Pseudomonadati; Bacteroidota; Bacteroidia; Bacteroidales. The record is from RNAcentral.
ACAUGCAAGUCGAGGGGCAGCAUGGUCUUAGCUUGCUAAGGCUGAUGGCGACCGGCGCACGGGUGAGUAACACGUAUCCAACCUGCCGUCUACUCUUGGCCAGCCUUCUGAAAGGAAGAUUAAUCCAGGAUGGGAUCAUGAGUUCACAUGUCCGCAUGAUUAAAGGUAUUUUCCGGUAGACGAUGGGGAUGCGUUCCAUUAGAUAGUAGGCGGGGUAACGGCCCACCUAGUCAACGAUGGAUAGGGGUUCUGAGAGGAAGGUCCCCCACAUUGGAACUGAGACACGGUCCAAACUCCUACGGGAGGCAGCAGUGAGGAAUAUUGGUCAAUGGGCGAUGGCCUGAACCAGCCAAGUAGCGUGAAGGAUGACUGCCCUAUGGGUUGUAAACUUCUUUUAUAAAGGAAUAAAGUCGGGUAUGCAUACCCGUUUGCAUGUACUUUAUGAAUAAGGAUCGGCUAACUCCGUGCCAGCAGCCGCGGUAAUACGGAGGAUCCGAGCGUUAUCCGGAUUUAUUGGGUUUAAAGGGAGCGUAGAUGGAUGUUUAAGUCAGUUGUGAAAGUUUGCGGCUCAACCGUAAAAUUGCAGUUGAUACUGGAUGUCUUGAGUGCAGUUGAGGCAGGCGGAAUUCGUGGUGUAGCGGUGAAAUGCUUAGAUAUCACGAAGAAC